Long non-coding RNA from Danio rerio (zebrafish), 4389 nucleotides. NCBI's taxonomy places the organism in Eukaryota, Metazoa, Chordata, Actinopteri, Cypriniformes, Danionidae. The record is from Ensembl.
GGUGCGUGUGGAGACUCACAGCAGCUUCAGCAUGCGGUCAGAGAUGAUGAAAACACACGAGCGGCGGCUCCAGACUCUGCCAGCGAGUCUCUCUCUGAAACCUCAGACAGUGGAUUGGUGAAGCAGAGCGAUGUGGAGGAUCCUCCAGCUCACCUGCAGACGGCCAGCAGCACUGAACACACCACUCCUCCAAAAACACCCUCUGCUGCCAGCCUGGCCGAGUCUGUGCAGUCCAACACACACAGCAGUGGGAAGCUGCGGCCCAGUCGAGUUCAGAGUGUGGUGUCCAGUCAGGGCAGCCUGGACUCAGACAUGCUGGGUGAGACUCCACUGAUUAUGCGCACACUCGCUCACGCACUCAUCUGUCCUCCUGCAUCAACUCUCCUCCUGCAUGUGUGUGUUUUUCAGGUUACGACGGUGGCAGCAGCGACUCGGAGUGUGAAGGACCCACGAUGAACGAGCAGGAGAAGCAGACGCCGCUCAUGCCUGAUUUCUGGCUCAUCAUCAGGAUCCAUCAGGACCGGGUGCAGGUUUUCUCUCACUCCAGGAGUUUGCAUCGAGGGAAAGAGGAGGAAGAGGAGGAGGAGAUCCCCGAAUACCUGCGCCUUCAUCAGCUGGUGGUGCGCAGGAUUGGAGAAAUGUGCCGAAUAGUCAACCAGCGCCUCCUGCUGCAGGAUCUGCAUGACAGUCGUGUGUGCCACUCUCUCCUGGUGGCGGAGAGUGAGGAGGACAUCUGGAAACAUGAGUCGCUCUACCGGCCCCGGAUGACCCACUCUGAUGACUAUAAUGCUGACGAGAGCUAUCAGCGGCGGGAUUACCUCGCCGCCACCAUGCACUUCAUACCGGGUUACUUCGCCUGUGACGUGGUGUGGAGCACCGUUAUUUACAUCCACCCGCGGCUCAAGAUGGGGCCCAACAUGGGUGUGUCCCGCGCUAUGCAGGCUCUGCACUCCGUUCUCAACGCUUUCUGUGUGGUGAACCGCAAAAACAUGUUUGUCUAUCAGGAGCGCACCACUAAAUCUGUGUUCUACCUCCGGCUCUCCGAGACGUCUCAGGCAGGGAAGUACAGUGAUUUGGAUGGAAACGUGCACAUGUCGCGCUCUGUCGGUCUGGCUCGCAGCCAGGAGCCGCUAGGCUCAGAGGACCUCACGGGAUCGCGCUCGUCUCUGGAAGGCUCGAGGCCAGUUGGACUGGUGGACAAACACAUUCUGCUGCUAGUUCAUGGUGUAGGAACUGCAGGUCCAGAGAUCUCGGAUGAGCUGAUGAAGCUCUUGAGGAAGCGUCUGGAUGAAGCCACACUGGACAUUAUUACAGUCAUGCUGGUCAGAAACUGCAAACUGACCCCUGCAGAUGUGGAGUUUAUCCAGCCUCCCGGGUCUCCAGCGACGGAGGUGAUGGAGUUCUGUCUGCCUCAGUACUGUGGGCCGUGGAUCCAGGCGGUGGCUCACUAUCUCCGGCAGAACCUGCUCAUUUUUCUCCACAUCCCCAAAUACACUGACAGCAACAUCGAGCACCACUUUAAGCAUUAUUUCCAUUCAAGUAGCGAGCUGCCCGAUCAUGACAUCUACCUGUACAAUAAACCUGGAGGACAGGGCACCGGAGGCAAAGGUAUCGUCUGCAUCGUGCUGUCGUUCGUGGAUGAUAAAGGCUGUGCGCUGUUGCUUACUGCUCAGGACGCCAGUGUUUCGGCUGUAAGAGGAGAUGCCACCGCCAUUUCCAUCCAGCCGGACCAGUUUGAGACCUUGACAACCGUUGUCAAGGUGGACUCUCGCAACCAGAGCUCAGGUGUUCGCGUGCGCUUUGACGUGUGGGAGCAGGGGAACAUCGAUCCUCUACAGCUGGCAAACAGACUGAAAGCUGCUCUACGCCACGCUCUCUGUGAUGUUAUUAUGGAGAUGCGUGUACUGCCCAGUCCACUGUGUCUGGACACCUUCUGCCUGCCCACUGCCACCCCGCGGGAGGAGAGCUCAGUUCCCUUAAGUCUUGUGCCGUCAGACAGUAAGGAGCAGAAGAAGACUCCUCGGCGUCCCAGCACAGAUCAAGCUCUCAGAAGCAGCCCGUCUCCCAUCAGCCUGAUCUCUGCACCCGCUUCCACCCCGACCACAGGAACCAGCACUCCCGAAUCCACAACACCCACCGGGAAAAGCACUCGCCGCAGCUUCUGGGAGAUGCUGAGCAAACCAGAGACUUCUGAAAUUGGCAGUCCGAAGACAACGGAUGAUAUUAUACCGGAGCGAGCGGAGGAUAGUCGGAUGGGAAGACGCAGACACAAGACGGAGAACGUCAAACAGUGGAGCCAUGAGAAAGCCAUGGCUGUGGAACAAGAGCAGGCUCAGAGGAGACGUGCGGUUCAGUUGGAGGAAGGAGAUACGGGGACUCUUCAGCCUGUUUACCAGACCACAUACAUGCCCUGGGUCAUGUUCAUGAAUAAACUGGGUUGUCCGUCCAUCCAGCACUGUUCAGCUGAAGUCUCGCAUCACUUCCUCCUGCCCUCCGUCCUCACAGAGUUGGUCAAUCUGGUCACUUCUCUGGCCAGUGACACCACAGUCAAAGUAUUCGAAAGAAGCAGCUGCCCUCAGGGAGAUAUUUACAUACCUCUGUCAAUCAUCCAGCACAUCAGCCAAUCACCUGCCACCACCAGGAGCUUCAUUCUCAUUGGUCGCAACUUCAGCCAGUGGCAUUGCAGUACUGAGCAAGCUCAUAAAGGCCUGCAGCGGUUCGAGGCUUUGGAGCACAGUGAUUGGCUGAGCCCGGGUCAGGCUGUGAGGGGCGUGGCUCCACGACAGCGUUUCCUGUUCAUUCACAUCGUCAACAAGAAGGUGACUCUGUACACGUAUAACUGGUCAGUGGAUCUGGGCGGCUCUCUGAAUCAGGCUCUGGUUAGGCUGGUGCAGUGGCAGAACGCUCGCGCACACGUGGUCAACUGCCUCCUGGGUCAGAAAAUGGGCCUUUUCCAUCAUUACUGCUUCUCUGAUACGCCUACACACGAGGAGCUGAAGCAGGAGCAAAACCCAUUCCUGAACUCCACGAUGGAGGCAGACGCUCUAUUAAGGAGUCCGGUUCCUCCGGCCGCCAGUAAGGAUCCGGGUCGACUAGGCAGCUCUGCGCGUGUUCUUCCUCCUCUGCCAUUUCCUGGUGAACUCGUGCCCUUUGAUGAAGCUCUGAGAGACGUCAACACUAACAGACCCCUGAGCAGUCAGGACGGGGCUGAUAUAGUGGCUCGACACGGAGCCCAGCUGCUGGAGGUCAAAGCAGCUGAACGCAGAGAGUUGGAGAGACAGAUGAAGAUCGAGAAUCUGUUUGUGACGUGGCAGCAGCGCUCGGCUCAGUCCAACAUGCCCAUAUCGGUGGCAGAUCUGGACACUCUAAAGCAAUCCUCUAGACUGGUUCAUUACUGCGCCACACCACUGCUCUUUGACCCUGUGUUCAGAAAACAGAUUCAGGAGGAACAGGUGCCACAGCCACAGAUGAAGAAGCGUCAUCGCUCCAGUGACUCGACAGCCUCGGGCCGGGACCGCAGCUACAGCACAGACUCUGCAGAGAUGCUGCCGAGCCGGCUGAAGGAGGAGCCGUGGCUGCAGGACAUCUCCAACACCUUCCUGCAGCAGUACGUGCAGUAUCUGCAGAGCAUGGGCUUCAUCCUGGUGCAGGUCCGGCCGCAGUCGCCAGCACGCAGCAUCGCUCGAGCUCGCGCCGCCAUGUUGAGCUCUCUGUCCACUGAAGGCAGAUCUUCAUUCUCAUCGUUCUCAUAUAAUAAGCAGAAGAGUGAAGACAGCAGCCCUAAGCAGAGCAGUUCGUCAGGCUCUGUGUCGUAUCACCUGCAGAGGGCGCUGCCGGGAGGAAUCGUGCUGAUGGAGCUGGCCUUUCAGGUAAGAGCUUCAUCUUCUGUCUUCAGAGCAGAGUUUUUAUUUUUCAGGCCUCAGAAUCAGCACACAGCAGACACUGGGCUUUUACAACAACACUGAACGUCUCGGCAGACACAGAGGAGAAAGAGAGAUGCUUAAUGGAGUCUGCCUCGCUCGCGCACUAUUUAUGCUUAUUAAUAUUUGAACACACAGAAUCAACAGCGAGGAAACAACAUGCCAUCUGAUCUCCAGCCUUCCUCACGCCUCACAUCUCUCACAAUUCACUUUCAGAGUGUUUUGAAGAUAUUGUUAUUACGGCUGUCAAAAUAAUUCAUUAAGACCUGAUAAUAAUCAUCAUCAUCAAUAUUAAUAAUGAUUUGCUUAUUUAUGAAUAAUAAAUCUAUUUAUAUCAAUCGUGUCAUCAUUUAGAAUUAUUAUUAAUUUUGUUAUUCUUAUACUUGUUAUUAAUAGUAGCAGUAAUAAUAAUAGUAAUAGCAAUAAAAAAAUGUAAUAUUGUUGUAAUUAUAAUUCAUACUUUAUUGAA